ACGGAACCCCCGAUCGCCUUAUCGCAGCAAGUAAUCCUUUUGAUCUAUCUGAUAUAAUGCAAAUAUUGUCUUCUCUGACAACGUGCCUCUACAGAUUUGUGAAGAAAAAUUUCCAAGACUCGAAGCACUCACGCUCCACGAUGGCGAAAGAGAUCGAAGUACAUUUCAGUUACAGUCUUGUGCAACAGCAAUCAGGAGUAUUUGCAUGUAUUUUCCAUACAACCAUGUCCCGUCCACCUGCACCAUCGACUUACAGUGAGGGAAGGCCCUAACACACGGCUUGAACGUCCAAAAAAAUUGGUGAAAAACUCGUUUCCCUGAUUGUAUCUCCCCAUCCGGGCCUUUAUACGGCAAUGUUUGCAAAUUAGUCACUGUCCCAAGCACAUACUCCUACAUCCCGGCUAUCCACCCUUGAAGCUCGUUGUAUGAUGCAUCCCAGUCACCAUACAACUCUCGUAUCGCCAUUUGCUUUGCCCACCAUGCCUUUCGGUACGACACUUUAUACUUGAAUCGAGCUUGCAUGUCCAUAAUAAGGAUCGACACCUGAAUGGUGGGCGACUGUUUCAACAAAAGAAUGAUGCAGUUGUAUAUAGUUUUUGCAUCUAAC
This 607-nucleotide long non-coding RNA is filed under the name Gossypium barbadense (sea-island cotton). Its description in RNAcentral is "long non-coding RNA (GBAR_LNC006908)". The record is from RNAcentral. Lineage: Eukaryota; Viridiplantae; Streptophyta; Magnoliopsida; Malvales; Malvaceae.